Molecule: long non-coding RNA, 237 nt
Filed under: Eutrema salsugineum
Lineage: Eukaryota; Viridiplantae; Streptophyta; Magnoliopsida; Brassicales; Brassicaceae
Description: long non-coding RNA (ESAL_LNC001830)
Source: RNAcentral
AGGAUAUUAAACAAGGCAUUCAAGGCUAGGUAUCAAAGGCUUUUUAGCGGUGAAGCUUGAUGUGUUUAGGGUUACCUUUUUCUGAAGAGACAAGAUAUUAUGCAAAACAACAAAAGAGGAUGAAGCUGUUGAUGUCCACAGUUUCCAGUCAUAUUCUUCUUGCUUUAAGAUUUCUGAUCUCCUUUCUUCAAGCUCUCCUUAUAACUCCCCAGACUUGGAUUUUUGUCCAGGUUGUGA